Mycobacterium kumamotonense is the source of this 173-nucleotide non-coding RNA. The record is from Rfam. NCBI's taxonomy places the organism in Bacteria, Bacillati, Actinomycetota, Actinomycetes, Mycobacteriales, Mycobacteriaceae.
AACGCACCUCGCUAGGCGAGGCGUCUGUGCGGAUACAGGCCACUGACCUCCAACGUCGAGAGACGCCAACGGUCAGGACAGCUCUUCCCGGCUUAAGGGUUGAGCCCAAGUGGCUUCCGGCUGCUGGCCGGAUACGCCGUGCAGUGCCGAAGCUCUGACGAGAGGGGUGCCGG